Molecule: transfer RNA, 74 nt
Filed under: Squalus suckleyi (Puget Sound dogfish)
Lineage: Eukaryota; Metazoa; Chordata; Chondrichthyes; Squaliformes; Squalidae
Also listed under: 2 other names
Description: tRNA-Lys
Rfam family: tRNA
About the family: Transfer RNA (tRNA) molecules are approximately 80 nucleotides in length. Their secondary structure includes four short double-helical elements and three loops (D, anti-codon, and T loops). Further hydrogen bonds mediate the characteristic L-shaped molecular structure. tRNAs have two regions of fundamental functional importance: the anti-codon, which is responsible for specific mRNA codon recognition, and the 3' end, to which the tRNAs corresponding amino acid is attached (by aminoacyl-tRNA synthetases). tRNAs cope with the degeneracy of the genetic code in two manners: having more than one tRNA (with a specific anti-codon) for a particular amino acid; and 'wobble' base-pairing, i.e. permitting non-standard base-pairing at the 3rd anti-codon position.
Source: RNAcentral
CACUAAGAAGCUAUAUUGGGUCUAGCAUUAGCCUUUUAAGCUAAAAACUGGUGAUUCCCUACCACCCUUAGUGA